AGGACGCAAAAGUGCAGGAUCAAUAAUGUCUGGCCUAUUGGUUGCACCAAUAAUGAACACAGUUUUCUUAGCGUUCAUGCCAUCCAUUUCAGUGAGGAGUUGAUUCAGAACUCUGUCAGCAGCUCCCCCAGCGUCUCCCGAACUACUUCCUCUCUGUGUGGCGAUUGAGUCUAGUUCAUCAAAAAACAGGACACACGGAGCAGAUUGGCGGGCCUUGUCAAAUAUUUCUCUAACGUUGGCUACUUCCUCUCUGUGUGGCGAUUGAGUCUAGUUCAUCAAAAAACAGGACACACGGAGCAGAUUGGCGGGCCUUGUCAAAUAUUUCUCUAACGUUGG
RNAcentral lists this unclassified non-coding RNA (336 nucleotides) under Hevea brasiliensis (rubber tree). Lineage: Eukaryota; Viridiplantae; Streptophyta; Magnoliopsida; Malpighiales; Euphorbiaceae. The record is from RNAcentral.